This 375-nucleotide ribosomal RNA is filed under the name uncultured bacterium. RNAcentral describes it as "bacterial SSU rRNA". It matches the Rfam family "Bacterial small subunit ribosomal RNA", at positions 521 to 896 of the family's 1533-position model. The record is from RNAcentral.
UAAUACGAGAGGCCCAAACGUUAUUCGGAAUUACUGGGCUUAAAGAGUUCGUAGGCGGCGCGGAAAGUAGGGUGUGAAAGCCCUCGGCUCAACCGAGGAAUUGCGCUCUAAACUGCCGUGCUUGAGGAAGCUAGAGGUGAGCGGAACUGAUGGUGGAGCGGUGAAAUGCGUUGAUAUCAUCAGGAACACCGGAGGCGAAGGCGGCUCACUGGGGCUUUUCUGACGCUGAGGAACGAAAGCCAGGGUAGCGAACGGGAUUAGAUACCCCGGUAGUCCUGGCCGUAAACGAUGAGCACUAGGCCGGAGGGCUGCACAGCUUUUCGGCCGUAGCUAAAGUGUUAAGUGCUCCGCCUGGGGAGUAUGGUCGCAAGGCUG